UCCGUAGGGUGAACCUGCGGAGGGAUCAUUACCGAGUUAUACAACUCCCAAACCCACUGUGAACCUUACCUCAGUUGCCUCGGCGGGAACGCCCCGGCCGCCGGCCCCCGCGCCGGCGCCGGACCCAGGCGCCCGCCGCAGGGACCCCAAACUCUCUUGCAUUACGCCCAGCGGGCGGAAUUUCUUCUCUGAGUUGCACAAGCAAAAACAAAUGAAUCAAAACUUUCAACAACGGAUCUCUUGGUUCUGGCAUCGAUGAAAAACGCAGCGAAAUGCGAUAAGUAAUGUGAAUUGCAAAAUUCAGUGAAUCAUCGAAUCUUUGAACGCACAUUGCGCCCGCCAGCAUUCUGGCGGGCAUGCCUGUUCGAGCGUCAUUUCAACCCUCGAGCCCCCCCGGGGGCCUCGGUGUUGGGGGACGGCACACCAGCCGCCCCCGAAAUGCAGUGGCGACCCCGCCGCAGCCUCCCCUGCGUAGUAGCACACACCUCGCACCGGAGCGCGGAGGCGGUCACGCCGUAAAACGCCCAACUUUCUUAAAGUUGACCUCGGAUCAGGUAGGAAUACCCGCUGAACUUAAGCAUAUCAAUAAGCGAAGAA
This 597-nucleotide ribosomal RNA is filed under the name Purpureocillium lilacinum. RNAcentral's name for it is "partial 18S ribosomal RNA". The stretch from base 221 to 374 matches the Rfam family "5.8S ribosomal RNA". The record is from RNAcentral. Lineage: Eukaryota; Fungi; Ascomycota; Sordariomycetes; Hypocreales; Ophiocordycipitaceae.